GAUGAACGCUGGCGGCGUGCCUAAUACAUGCAAGUCGAGCGAAAAGACGAGGAGCUUGCUCCUCUGACGUUAGCGGCGGACGGGUGAGAAACACGUGGAUAACCUACCUAUAAGUCUGGGAUAACUUCGGGAAACCGGAGCUAAUACCGGAUAAUAUACUGCACCGCAUGGUUCAAUAGUGAAAGACGGCUUUGCUGUCACUAAUAGAUGGAUCCGCGCCGCAUUAGCUAGUUGGUAAGGUAACGGCUUACCAAGGCAACGAUGCGUAGCCGACCUGUCAGAGUGGUCGGCCACACUGGAGCUGGAACGCGGACCAGGCGCCUACGAGAGGCAGCAGUAGGGAAUCGGCCGCAGUGGGCGAGAACUUGGCGGAGCGGCGCCACGUGAGUGGUGGAGGUCUUCGGAUCGUAAAACUCUGUUAUGAGGUAAGAACAGAUGUGGAAGGAACUAUGCACGUCGUGACGGUACCUGGUCAGAAAGCCACGGCUAACUACGUG
RNAcentral lists this ribosomal RNA (497 nucleotides) under uncultured bacterium. RNAcentral's name for it is "partial 16S ribosomal RNA". It matches the Rfam family "Bacterial small subunit ribosomal RNA", at positions 28 to 507 of the family's 1533-position model. The record is from RNAcentral.